This 327-nucleotide ribosomal RNA is filed under the name uncultured eukaryote. RNAcentral's name for it is "partial 18S ribosomal RNA". It matches the Rfam family "Eukaryotic small subunit ribosomal RNA", at positions 1470 to 1796 of the family's 1831-position model. The record is from RNAcentral.
CCCUUAGAUGUUCUGGGCCGCACCCGCGCUACACUGAAGGAGGCAGCGUGUACUCCUGGAUCGAAAGAUUUGGGUAACCCGCGAAUCUCCUUCGUGCUAGGGAUUGAGGUUUGCAAUUAUCCUUCAUGAACGAGGAAUUCCCAGUAAGUGCAAGUCAUAAGCUUGCGCUGACUACGUCCCUGCCCUUUGUACACACCGCCCGUCGCUACUACCGAUUGAAUGAUUUAGUGAGGACUUCGGACUGGGACCGAUGCGGCUUUCGGGCUGCGUCGGUAUUCUGGAAAGAUGUCCAAACUGUAUCAUUUAGAGGAAGUAAAANUCGUAACA